AGCGAACGCUGGCGGCAGGCCUAACACAUGCAAGUCGAACGAACCUUUCGGGGUUAGUGGCGGACGGGUGAGUAACACGUGGGAACGUGCCUUUAGGUUCGGAAUAACUCAGGGAAACUUGUGCUAAUACCGAAUGUGCCCUUCGGGGGAAAGAUUUAUCGCCUUUAGAGCGGCCCGCGUCUGAUUAGCUAGUUGGUUGAGGUAAUGGCUCACCAAGGCGACGAUCAGUAGCUGGUCUGAGAGGAUGAUCAGACACAUUGGGACUGAGACACGGCCCAAACUCCUACGGGAGGCAGCAGUGGGGAAUCUUGCGCAAUGGGCGAAAGCCUGACGCAGCCAUGCCGCGUGAAUGAUGAAGGUCUUAGGAUUGUAAAAUUCUUUCACCGGUGACGAUAAUGACGGUACCCGGAGAAGAAGCCCCGGCUAACUUCGUG
This 434-nucleotide ribosomal RNA is filed under the name uncultured bacterium. RNAcentral describes it as "partial 16S ribosomal RNA". It matches the Rfam family "Bacterial small subunit ribosomal RNA", at positions 29 to 507 of the family's 1533-position model. The record is from RNAcentral.